RNAcentral lists this ribosomal RNA (253 nucleotides) under uncultured bacterium. RNAcentral's name for it is "partial 16S ribosomal RNA". It matches the Rfam family "Bacterial small subunit ribosomal RNA", at positions 524 to 776 of the family's 1533-position model. The record is from RNAcentral.
UACGUAGGGUGCAAGCGUUAAUCGGAAUUACUGGGCGUAAAGCGUGCGCAGGCGGUGAUGUAAGACAGGUGUGAAAUCCCCGGGCUUAACCUGGGAACUGCAUUUGUGACUGCAUCGCUGGAGUGCGGCAGAGGGGGAUGGAAUUCCGCGUGUAGCAGUGAAAUGCGUAGAGAUGUGGAGGAACACCGAUGGCGAAGGCAGCCCCCUGGGCUAACACUGACGCUCAUGCACGAAAGCGUGGGGAGCAAACAGG